This is a non-coding RNA of Cricetulus griseus (Chinese hamster), 2229 nucleotides long. NCBI's taxonomy places the organism in Eukaryota, Metazoa, Chordata, Mammalia, Rodentia, Cricetidae. The record is from RefSeq and is a predicted model, not a curated record.
CAGCAGUCUGUGUUUCCUCGGCUCCUGAUUCCACAUUCCAUUCCAGAGCCUGUGUGGAGAAUUCCAUUCUCCUGAGAGUACUGAGACCAUGCACAAGACACUGACCAAACACAAUUCCAAAGAGCCCAAAAUAAAAGCUUUGUGAGCACUGUGCCAGUUAGCUGGAGUUGUAGCAUUGACUACAGGAAGCAAGCCGAACCUUCCUUACCGUGGGAAGCAUCUCGGGAGUGUAAGAGCAUGCCCCACUGGUGAUAAUCUGGGAAUUUCACAGCAACAAAGACCCUUGCCCACAACGUCUCCCGGGCCACAUUGCUUCCUUUGUAUAGUCAUCAGCAAGCAAUAAGCAUGCCUUCCUGGCACUGGAACCACACUCAGCUCUAAACCUUAUCAUGAUGCUUCUUGCCAACCACAGAUGUCACAUGCUGUUAGCAUCAUCCCUUACUGGACCUUUUGCUCCCGACACAGAGAGGCACACUGCAAACAGUAGAGAGAGGUUACAAUGGAGAAGUAAUUGCAGCCUUAUAGCUUUGGAUAUCAAAAUUGGGGCAGCAGACCAGCCGUGGCAGCAGCAUCUGGGAACUUGUUAGAAUUGCAAUCCCAGAUGUGCUGAAUCAAAAACUUCCAGGAUCCCUUCCACAGGCCGAAACGCAUGCCUGGCACUGUAAGUCCAGCCAAGAACCCACAAUGGAGGGCCCCCUAGACCUCACAGGAACAUUGCUUACUAUCAGGGAAGACAGGCAGUUUAUGGAUGGUUACAAAGCAGUGUGCAUGAUAAGUUCUGCAAUGUGUGAACACAGCAUACUUCAGAAGAGGAGGGUCUCAGCCUACCAUGGAAGGCUUCCUCAAGAGGGAACACUUUAGCACAACCUGAAGGCAAUCCCUGUGAAAAGGUCACUCGACCCCCCCCUGCCCCGAGGGGGCCGUAACCUACUGAUUGAGAACCACUGUUCCAGAUGGACACAAACUCCUCUGUCCUUCCCUUCUCCAUCCCCAUUAUGGAGCUUUGCUAUCACAGAGAAUGAAGAAGCAUAAUGCAGAUCCUAGGAGACUUUGCAGCUGCCUCCAGCUACUAUGACGGACUUCUCAUUUGGUGGCUCUCCCACAAAGGUCAUGUCACCGAGCCAGAUGGGAUGGCAGGUGCUAUGAUUAUGUUCACCCACAUAUCAGGUUCACACAUCUUGAUCGGUCGUCAUUCAAGACCCCGUGAGACUGUGAAGGUGGUUUCAGCUACCCACCCAUCUGCUUCCUAACCUAAGGUCCUGCUUCUUCCAGCCACAUGCUGAGAGCUGCCCCCAGCUCUGAGGACAAGUCUGCUCCCCGACAGGAGGAAUUUAAGGAGCUUUAGUUCUCUGGUCCAGGCUCCACGGUGUCUAGUCAACAGUACUUCUGCUUUCGCUCUCCUCUUGGGCUGGGAAUUCAGCUUCUACCUCCUUCCCGUGAACAGUACUACUGGCAUCUAUGUCCUUAUGAGCCUUGUCAAUCACCAGACACCUUCCUCACCGGACCUUCCUCACUGGACAAGCAGCUAAAUUCCUCCUAGGGCAUUCCACCCUGCAGGGGGAAGGGCUAGGGCUACCUGCUGCCACCUCUUAGACCAAACACACCUUUCUGGCGAAGAAGUGUUCUAGGGACAAGCAAAUGAAUGCCCAGAUUUUCAUAGACUUCAUUACUGUGCAUACUCAAUAGUCCCGGCUACCUCAUAUGGGGUCCCCUAGGGUUGAGCAUUUGGGAAAGUAUCAGCACAUGAUUCCAGAACAGUGUUUCUAAAAUAGGGGAUCACCUCAGGGGACAUUUGGUGAUGUGUGGAGAAAUUUUGGGUGGUCACAAUUGAGGACAAGUUAUCAUCUCAUUACAUAGAGGCUAAGAUCCUGCUAAACACCCUGCAAUGCAUGCAGGUGCUCCCACUGCUAGCCAAGACUGAAAAACACUUUCUAGAGAUGUUUCAAGCACCAGAAGCAGCAUUAAAAACACAACAAAAAUUCCCAACAAGGAUGAUACUUCUGUUUUCAAUGCACACCUUAUCUAAUGAUCAAAAUCCAUGCUCGUUAAAGAAAAGCUACAAAAUAAAAAUGGGCAAAAGACAACCACUAAUAUCCCCACCACUGUACACAGUGGUGGUGACAUAUAAAAUUUAUACCCCGCUUUCUCUAUACAACCAGCUUUUCUCCAUGUUCCUAGAAGCUCUCAGACUGCCCUUGACUUUCUAUGUGAGAUUCUUUUCCAUGAACA